AACCAAUCAAUAUGUCUCUCUCACAUUAAUGUUUCUUUCCCCCUUUUUUCCUUCUCUCCACUUUUUUUCCAUCUGUCUAAAACCAAUGGAAAAAAUAUCCUUGGAUAAGGAUUAAGAAACAAAAAGAAUAAUUAUAAUGGUCAGGUAAAGUAAGAUGAGAAAUUGCUGCACAGUUUCUAUGAUACUGUGUACUAUAAAUUUAUUCACCCAUUUCCUAUUGAUUCAUCUUGUUGCUAGUUAUUGUCACCACAAACAAACUUGAGUAAAUACCCUUACAUGUAGUUAUUUGAUUACUGGAGGGUAGAUUAUAGGCAAGAGGUUGCUAGACAUAUCUAAGGAUAUAUGCUAUUUAAACAUUUUAAUAGAUACUAUUAGUCAAUUUUAAAAAGACAAGAAAUGCUGUAAAUAAAUGAAUAGAAUACUACUUAGCCAUAGGAAAAGAUGAAAUACUGCCUUUGUGACAACAUGGAUGGAUCUUGAGAAUAUCUGCUAAGUGAAAGUCAGACAUAAAAAGUCAAAAGUCAAGAACCACAAAUUCACUCACGUAGGAUAUAAAACUGAAAGUAACAAAUGAACAAAUAAGACAAUAUGGUGGUAACUGGAGGGAAGGGUUUAGGGUGUAGUAAAGAGGGUCAAAUAUAUGGUAACUGAAGAUAUGACUUAGAGUGGUGGGCACACAAUGCAAUAUAUAAAGGCCAUAUAUCAAAAAAUUGUAUAUUUGAAAUCUAUAUAAUUUCAUUAACCAAUGUCACCCCGAUAAAUUUAAUUUAAAAAUAGAUAAAAAGACAUGUAGUCUGCAAUAGAUGGCAUUGACAUGCUCAAAUUCAUGCUGGUCUGAUGAGUAUAAAACUCACCUACUCCUGGAUUUGCUUUGUAAAUUUUGAUACUGUUAACCCAUUUUCCUAAAGGAUUAUGUUUGUUGUUUUUUUGAAGACCUCUUCAUAUAUUAGCUAGUGGGAAUUUGUCUAAUUUUUGUUAUAAAAAAUGUGAUUUUUUUCCAUUAAAUAUUAUUAAAUGCCUCUG
This is a long non-coding RNA of Pipistrellus kuhlii (Kuhl's pipistrelle), 1023 nucleotides long. RefSeq lists it as uncharacterized. The transcript is spliced from 2 exons. The record is from RefSeq and is a predicted model, not a curated record. NCBI's taxonomy places the organism in Eukaryota, Metazoa, Chordata, Mammalia, Chiroptera, Vespertilionidae.